RNAcentral lists this ribosomal RNA (945 nucleotides) under Candidatus Falkowiibacteriota bacterium. RNAcentral's name for it is "partial 23S ribosomal RNA". It matches the Rfam family "Bacterial large subunit ribosomal RNA", at positions 1 to 855 of the family's 2925-position model. The record is from RNAcentral. Lineage: Bacteria; Candidatus Falkowiibacteriota.
AUACUAAGAGUAUAUGGUGGAUGCCUAGACAUCAAUGGACGAUGAAGGGCGUAGCAGCCUGCGAUAAGCUUCGGGGAGGUGGCAAGCAACCUUUGAUCCGGAGAUUUCCGAAUGGGGAAACCCAACUAAGUAAACCUUAGUUAUCUCUACCUGAAUAUAUAGGGUAGUUGAGGAAGACCUGGCGAAGUGAAACAUCUCAGUAGCCAGAGGAAUAUAAAAUAAUAAUGAUUCCCUAAGUAGUGGCGAACGAACGGGGAAGAGCCCAAACCUUUUAGACCUUAUAGUUCGUGAAAGUUAUGUUUUCGGAUGUGACUGGAUCUGACUAUUCAAGGCUGUCAGGCCACAUGUCUAAUUGGGGUAGCGAGAUAGUUAUUUUCAAAAUCUGACAAUUUUGUGCAAGUAAUAUAGAGUUUUAGUCAAAUGAGCUGGAAAGCUCAGCUAAAGAAGGUGAUAGCCCUGUAGGCGAAAAAACUUUAUAUCUUGUUUAGCUAUUCUCAAGUAGUGCAGGACACGAGAAAUCCUGUAUGAAUCUGCCGGGACUAUCCGGUAAGGCUAAAUACCAUUGAUGAUCGAUAGUGAACUAGUACCGUGAGGGAAAGGUGAAAAGCACCCCGGAAGGGGGAUGAAAUAGUAUCUGAAACCAUAUACUUACAAGGAGUUAGAGCCCCAUUUCGGUGGGGUGAUAGCGUUCCUAUUGAAGAAUGAGCCAACGAGUUUGUGUAUUUUGCGAGCUUAAGUCUGAGAAGGACGGAGGCGUAGUGAAAGCGAGGGUUAAUAGCCCGAUUUUAGUAUAAUGCACAAGACCCGAAACCCGGUGAUCUAGCCAUGGCCAGGGUGAAGCCAGCCUAAAAACUGGUGGAGGCCCGAACCCACGCACCGUGCAAAUUGCCGGGAUGAGCUGUGGAUAGCGGAGAAAUUCCAAUCGAGCUUAGUAAUAGCUGGUUC